RNAcentral lists this ribosomal RNA (490 nucleotides) under uncultured bacterium. RNAcentral describes it as "partial 16S ribosomal RNA". It matches the Rfam family "Bacterial small subunit ribosomal RNA", at positions 29 to 507 of the family's 1533-position model. The record is from RNAcentral.
AUUGAACGCUGGCGGCAGGCUUAACACAUGCAAGUCGAGCGGAAGCACAGGGGCGCUUGCUCCCUGGGUGACGAGCGGCGGACGGGUGAGAAAUGUCUGGGAAACUCCCUGAUGGAGGGGGAUACCUACUGGAAACGGUAGCUAAUACCGCAUAACGUCGCAAGACCAAAGAGGGGGAUCUUCGGGCGUCUUUCCAUCAGAUGUGCCCAGAUGGGAUGAGCUAGUAGGUGGGGUAAUGGGUCACCUAGGCGCAGAUCCCUAGCCGAUCUGAGAGGAUGAUCGCCCACACGGGAACGGAGACACGGUCCAGACUCCUACGGGAGGCAGCAGUGGGGAAUAUUGCGCAAUGGGCGGAAGCCUGGUGCAGCCAGGCCGCGUGUGUGAAGAAGGCCUUCGGGUUGUAAAGCACUUUCAGCGGGGAGGAAGGUGUUGAGCUUAAUACGUUCAUCAAUUGACGGUACUCGCAGAAGAAGCACCGGCUAACUACGUG